GACGAACGCUGGCGGCGUGCCUAAUACAUGCAAGUUGAGCGAUGAAGCUUGGUGCUUGCCCCAAUUUGAAGAGCAGCGAACGGGUGAGUAACGCGUGGGGAAUCUGCCUUUGAGCGGGGGACAACAUUUGGAAACGAAUGCUAAUACCGCAUAACAACUUUAAACAUAAGUUUUAAGUUUGAAAGAUGCAAUUGCAUCACUCAAAGAUGAUCCCGCGUUGUAUUAGCUAGUUGGUGAGGUAAAGGCUCACCAAGGCGAUGAUACAUAGCCGACCUGAGAGGGUGAUCGGCCACAUUGGGACUGAGACACGGCCCAAACUCCUACGGGAGGCAGCAGUAGGGAAUCUUCGGCAAUGGACGAAAGUCUGAACGAGCAACGCCGCGGGAGUGAAGAAGGGUUUCGGAUCGUAAAACUCUGUUGGUAGAGAAGAAAGUUGGUGAGAGUGGAAAGCUCAUCAAGUGACGGUAACUACCCAGAAAGGGACGGCUAACUACGUG
This 497-nucleotide ribosomal RNA is filed under the name uncultured bacterium. RNAcentral describes it as "partial 16S ribosomal RNA". It matches the Rfam family "Bacterial small subunit ribosomal RNA", at positions 28 to 507 of the family's 1533-position model. The record is from RNAcentral.